This 73-nucleotide transfer RNA is filed under the name Heterocephalus glaber (naked mole-rat). It matches the Rfam family "tRNA". From Rfam's summary of the family: Transfer RNA (tRNA) molecules are approximately 80 nucleotides in length. The record is from Rfam by way of RNAcentral. Lineage: Eukaryota; Metazoa; Chordata; Mammalia; Rodentia; Bathyergidae.
GGUGGUGUAGCUCAGCAAUAGAGUUCAUGUUUAGCAUGUGCAGAAGGCCUGGGUUCAAUUCCCAGCACAUCCC